This 701-nucleotide ribosomal RNA is filed under the name Actinomycetes bacterium. Its description in RNAcentral is "bacterial SSU rRNA". It matches the Rfam family "Bacterial small subunit ribosomal RNA", at positions 71 to 788 of the family's 1533-position model. Lineage: Bacteria; Bacillati; Actinomycetota; Actinomycetes. The record is from RNAcentral.
UGAAGCCCUUCGGGGUGGAUUAGUGGCGAACGGGUGAGUAACACGUGGGCAAUCUGCCCUUCACUCUGGGACAAGCCCUGGAAACGGGGUCUAAUACCGGAUAAUACUUCGUUCCGCAUGGGACGGGGUUGAAAGCUCCGGCGGUGAAGGAUGAGCCCGCGGCCUAUCAGCUUGUUGGUGGGGUGAUGGCCUACCAAGGCGACGACGGGUAGCCGGCCUGAGAGGGCGACCGGCCACACUGGGACUGAGACACGGCCCAGACUCCUACGGGAGGCAGCAGUGGGGAAUAUUGCACAAUGGGCGAAAGCCUGAUGCAGCGACGCCGCGUGAGGGAUGACGGCCUUCGGGUUGUAAACCUCUUUCAGCAGGGAAGAAGCGCAAGUGACGGUACCUGCAGAAGAAGCGCCGGCUAACUACGUGCCAGCAGCCGCGGUAAUACGUAGGGCGCAAGCGUUGUCCGGAAUUAUUGGGCGUAAAGAGCUCGUAGGCGGCUUGUCACGUCGGAUGUGAAAGCCCGGGGCUUAACCCCGGGUCUGCAUUCGAUACGGGCUAGCUAGAGUGUGGUAGGGGAGAUCGGAAUUCCUGGUGUAGCGGUGAAAUGCGCAGAUAUCAGGAGGAACACCGGUGGCGAAGGCGGAUCUCUGGGCCAUUACUGACGCUGAGGAGCGAAAGCGUGGGGAGCGAACAGGAUUAGAUACCCU